GACAGCUGUAGCCUCUGUUCGGUUGCAAAGACUCUUAAGGACUAAACGAAAUAAGCUUGAGAACUUCGUUCUGUCUGAGAUCCGGCCAACAGAUCUUCCGCUUCCUUCCCCCGGAAUCUAAGACGUUAUACGAUUUUCCACAAGGGCGACCUUCAGCUACAUGGACCUCAAAACGCGAUACGCCAGUUCUGUAUAUUUGCCUUUGCUGCGCUGCAGCGUUAAAUCUUAUCGAGGGCGGGCUAUGAUGUUUACGAAAUUAACUACUUAAUUUUCUAUGCUCGUAUUAUAAAACGCGAUACGUUACUUCGAUCACGCAUCGAGAAAUUCAGCAGCACAAUCCAAUUAUAGUCAUAACAUAAAUUAAUGACGACUCCUAACAAUUAGUCAUAUUUGAUUUCCGGCAAUCUACUUGAAAUUCAUUUAGAAUAGGCGAUCUGUUCCUACAUAAAAUCCAUAGUACAGAUAAAGCCGUAUCCUAAUAUUCGAUAAAUUAAAUCCUCCGAUAUCAUACUGACAAGUCAACUCCCAUUUUUUUGAAGUGUCUGACCGAUUUUAUACAUCAUAUGGAAUGUGGCAAGUUUUAUCAAGCCACUUGCCCAUAGCAAUUAUAUGUGAUGUCUUGAUGAUAUUUUGCGAACUGAUAUCCACAUUAUAGAAGAAGCAUUAUUUAUAUUUAGUAAUUAAUAACAAUCCGUAGUUGAUAUUAUUCGAUAAAUCAUCACCUCGUACAAUCCCCAGUGGCGCAAUUGGUUAGCGCACGGUACUUAUAAGACAGUGUUCGUGAGCAAUGCCGGGGUUGUGAGUUCGAGCCUCACCUGGGGAAUUAUUUUUUAAUCCUUUCUAUCCUCCUGCUUAAUUCAAAGAACAUAGCAAUCAAUAACAACAUGUAUUUAUUCAAGAGAAUAAGGGUGAAAUAAUAUUAAAAA
Athalia rosae (coleseed sawfly) is the source of this 926-nucleotide long non-coding RNA. RefSeq lists it as uncharacterized. Lineage: Eukaryota; Metazoa; Arthropoda; Insecta; Hymenoptera; Athaliidae. The record is from RefSeq and is a predicted model, not a curated record. The transcript has 2 exons.